AAGGGCACCACCAGGAGUGGAGCCUGCGGCUUAAUUCGACUCAACACGGGAAAACUCACCAGGCCCGGACACUGGAAGGAUUGACGGAUUAACAGCUCUUUCUCGAUUCGGUGGGUGGUGGUGCAUGGCCGCUCUUAGUUGGUGGAGCGAUUUGUCAUGUUAAUUCCGGUAACGAACGUAACUCUAGCCUAUUAAAUAGACGUGCAACCGGUAUCACGAGGGCCCGCGUGCGCGCGUACCGGCGGCGUUUACGCGUCGUCGGCGCGCGUUUCGCGGUCUUCACUACCGGCGUACAAUGAAAAUCUUCUUAGAGGGACCGGCGGUAUAUAUAGCCGCACGAGAUUGAGCAAUAGCAGGUCUGUGAUGCCCUUAGAUGUCCUGGGCCGCACGCGCGCUACACUGAAGGGAUCAGCGUGUCCUCCUUGGCCUAACGGCCCGGGUAACCCGAUGAAACCCCUUCGUGAUAGGGAUUGGGGUUUGCAAUUCUCCCCCAUGAACGAGGAAUUCCUAGUAAAAGCGGGUCACCAGCUCGCGUUGAUUGCGUCCCUGCCCUUUGUACACACCGCCCGUCGCUACUACCGAUGGAUGAUUUGGUGAGGUCUUCGGACUGGUGCGCGGAAGCUCUUCGCGGGCAUCCGACGCGUCGGAAAGUUUGACCGAAUUUGAUCAUUUAGAGGAAGUAAAAGUCGUAACAAGGUUUCC
RNAcentral lists this ribosomal RNA (702 nucleotides) under Trichoptera sp. PACaddisfly-1. RNAcentral's name for it is "SSU rRNA". It matches the Rfam family "Eukaryotic small subunit ribosomal RNA", at positions 1160 to 1804 of the family's 1831-position model. Lineage: Eukaryota; Metazoa; Arthropoda; Insecta; Trichoptera. The record is from RNAcentral.